RNAcentral lists this ribosomal RNA (381 nucleotides) under uncultured eukaryote. RNAcentral describes it as "partial 18S ribosomal RNA". It matches the Rfam family "Eukaryotic small subunit ribosomal RNA", at positions 592 to 976 of the family's 1831-position model. The record is from RNAcentral.
CAAUAGCGUAUAUUAAAGUUGUUGCAGUUAAAAAGCUCGUAGUUGGAUUUGUGGUUGAUUGGGGUCGCCCGACACUUAGUGUUGGUGUGGAGUUUCGGUCGCCAUCCUUGGGUGGAAUCUGUGUGGCAUUAGGUUGUCGUGCAGGGGAUGCCCAUCUUUUACUGUGAAAAAAUUAGAGUGUUCAAAGCAGGCUUAUGCCGUUAAAUAUAUUAGCAUGGAAUAAUAAGAUAGGACCUCGGUACUAUUUUGUUGGUUUGCGCACUGAGGUAAUGAUUAAUAGGGACAGUUGGGGGUAUUCGUAUUCCAUUGUCAGAGGUGAAAUUCUUGGAUUUUUGGAAGACGAACUACUGCGAAAGCAUUUACCAAGGAUGUUUUCAUUAA